AUGGCUGAUGCACUGGGCAGCGUGACAAAGGCUCUCGAUAUUGUGUUCAAGAUCAAAGAGGCUGUGGAUACAGUUAAACAAAACGAAAAGGAUUGUGAACAGAUCAAGAAGCGUGUGGAGAGGGUCCAACACACGCUCACUCUGUUCCAACAGGAUGUGGAGCUGAUGAACUCCGCGGGGAGCCGCACUGCACUGGAGGCGUUGCGUGAGGUCCUCACCGAGGCCCUCGAGCUCGUCACAGGCUGCAAGGAAGAGACUAAUCUGUGUUGUCUCCUCAUAAAGGCUGGGGAGGUGUCCAAGAAGCUGAACAAGGCAGACCAGACCAUAUCUAAUAUAAACUCUGAGGUGUCGCUUACCAUCAUGCUCUGCAUUGCGCCGCACACCACCAAGCCACUUAAACUCUACCAAGCACCGGAUGAACAUGGCCGUUCGCUGCAAUUGGUAUUACUGGGUGGAUCUUUUGUCAAACAAACACGAAGCGUGCCACCUACUAUUUCUGAAAUUGCGGUGGAAAUCAAGGUAGCGGUGGACAGAGUCCAGAGGAACAAGGAAGAGUGCAUUGAAGUUGAUAAGCGUGUGAAUGGUGUCAAUGCCCUCCUUUCACAGUUCGGGAAUACAGAACUAAUGAAGGACCCAUCCAUGAGUGCUUCAAUAGAGAAGCUCCAUACGACCUUUUGCAUUGCUCGCACACUCGUCAUGGAGUGUCAGAAAAGAAAUAUUAUUUUCAUUCGAUCUGGUUGGGAGUUGUCCAAGCAGCUACGUGAGGUACUGGAUCAAAUUGAUCUUGCCCUUGAUGAUAUGAUCACCAUUAGUGCGAACUAUGCCUGUACAGUGUGA
RNAcentral lists this ribosomal RNA (837 nucleotides) under Triticum aestivum (bread wheat). RNAcentral describes it as "partial small subunit ribosomal RNA". Lineage: Eukaryota; Viridiplantae; Streptophyta; Magnoliopsida; Poales; Poaceae. The record is from RNAcentral.